Plectropomus leopardus (leopard coralgrouper) is the source of this 513-nucleotide non-coding RNA. The record is from RefSeq and is a predicted model, not a curated record. Lineage: Eukaryota; Metazoa; Chordata; Actinopteri; Perciformes; Serranidae.
CUCUCUGUUAGCUGCUGUGUUUCAACGAUUUUAGACUAAAAAAACGAGCAUACGGGCUUAAAUUAAUCUUGGCUGCUGUGUCAGGUGAUGCAGUGACUUAAACUAACGCUCUUGUGUCGUGUCCUGGCUGAGCUUCUUUUCCGAACACGUCCCGCAGAAGAAGCCCACAGCCCAUAAAUCCAUGAGUCAGCCACAGCCCAUCUGCUCUUACAUAAGACUCCCAUAAUGCAACACUGCCUGCUGCCUCAAUGAACAGCUCUGCUGUCUCCAGGCUUUGCUCUCCAGGCGCCUCCUCCUCCUCCUCCAAACAUGGCGCCGGCCCGCAGCGUUGCUGCUUCCCCGACAGACGACGUAGAGAGGGACAGAAGGAGGAGAAGAAGCAGCGGGUAGAAACUCACCCUGAACGUGUUUUAAAAACUCUUUAAAACGAACACAACUUCACGCUCUCUAAGAUUUCCCUCGGAAACUUUACGCACAUUUUUUUUGGAGACGUAUACGCGUCAGGCUGUGCGC